RNAcentral lists this ribosomal RNA (253 nucleotides) under uncultured bacterium. Its description in RNAcentral is "partial 16S ribosomal RNA". It matches the Rfam family "Bacterial small subunit ribosomal RNA", at positions 524 to 776 of the family's 1533-position model. The record is from RNAcentral.
UACGAAGGGUGCAAGCGUUACUCGGAAUUACUGGGCGUAAAGCGUGCGUAGGUGGUGAGUUAAGUCUGAUGUGAAAUCCCCGGGCUCAACCUGGGAAUGGCAUUGGAUACUGGCUCGCUAGAGUGCGGUAGAGGGUGGUGGAAUUCCCGGUGUAGCAGUGAAAUGCGUAGAGAUCGGGAGGAACAUCCGUGGCGAAGGCGGCCACCUGGACCAACACUGACACUGAGGCACGAAAGCGUGGGGAGCAAACAGG